This 352-nucleotide unclassified non-coding RNA is filed under the name Hevea brasiliensis (rubber tree). The record is from RNAcentral. Lineage: Eukaryota; Viridiplantae; Streptophyta; Magnoliopsida; Malpighiales; Euphorbiaceae.
AGACAAACUGUGGAGCAUUAAAGUCAAAAGGUUUUACUUGCUCAAGUUUGGGAGAAAUUAUGAUGAUAUUUGUUCCUGAAUAAUCUGUCAAAGUUUUUAUUUUUUAUUUUUAUAUUGAUCUUUUAUCUCAAUCAUAUGGAAUUUCAAAAAGUGCAGUCAGUCUCUCAGGAUUCUGCAAUUUGAUAUUCUGAAAUUUUAAGAGAUAAAUGGGCGUUUGAAGAUUUUCUAAGGAUGGCCAAUUUCAAUAUUAUUUUUAUAAUACAUUACUUAAUGGUAAUAUAGUUAUAUCCUUGUGGCAAGAUUGAUUUUUCUUUCACUUUUUCUCAGAUACUUUAAGGGACCUGAGCUUCUA